Molecule: ribosomal RNA, 301 nt
Filed under: uncultured bacterium
Lineage: Bacteria
Description: partial 16S ribosomal RNA
Rfam family: Bacterial small subunit ribosomal RNA
Source: RNAcentral
CAGUAGCCACGGUAAUACGUAGGGCGCAAGCGUUAUCCGGAAUUAUUGGGCGUAAAGAGCUCGUAGGCGGUUUGUCGCGUCUGCCGUGAAAGUCCGGGGCUCAACCCCGGAUCUGCGGUGGGUACGGGCAGACUAGAGUGAUGUAGGGGAGACUGGAAUUCCUGGUGUAGCGGUGAAAUGCGCAGAUAUCAGGAGGAACACCGAUGGCGAAGGCAGGUCUCUGGGCAUUAACUGACGCUGAGGAGCGAAAGCAUGGGGAGCGAACAGGAUUAGAUACCCGGGUAGUCCCUGUCUCUUAUAA